Molecule: ribosomal RNA, 642 nt
Filed under: Alexandrium ostenfeldii
Lineage: Eukaryota; Dinophyceae; Gonyaulacales; Pyrocystaceae
Description: eukaryotic LSU rRNA
Rfam family: Eukaryotic large subunit ribosomal RNA
Source: RNAcentral
AGCAUGGGAUUCCUUAAGUAAUUGCGAAUGAACAAGGAACUGCUCAGCUUGAAAAUUGGGGCCUUCGGCCUUGAAUUGUAAUUUUGAAAUGUAUUGCCAAUGGAGGCGCAGGUGCAAGCCUAUUGAAAGAAAGCGUCAAUGAGGGUGAGAUUCCUUUUUGUCAUUUGCAGUCCUCCGUGCACGGUAUAUAUUUGACGAGUCACACUCCUCGGCAUUGGAAUGCAAAGUGGGUGGUAAAUUCCAUGUAAAGGAAAAUAUAUUAUUGAGACUGAUAGCAAACAAGUACCAUGAGGGAAAUAUGAAAAGGACUUUGAAAAGAGAAUUAAAAGAGUCUGCAUUUGCUGAACAGAAAGCAAACAGAAUUGAUCUACUUGGUGAGAUUGUUGCGUCCACUUGUGGGCGCAAUGGUUCUUACCUUGAAUGUCAGCGUCUAUUUCUGCAAAUCAUUACCCUUGCACAUGAAUGGUAAUUUGCCUGUGGGUAUUGGAAUGCAUGUGUUUGCAAUGAUUUGUGAUUUGAUACGUGUGUCUGGUGUUCUUGUGUGUGCUUCUUGCCAAAAGGGGAGGGCUCUCCUCCCUGGGCACUGCAAGCCCUUGCACAUUGUUGCUGGCAAAAUGUUUCUGCUUGACCCGUCUUGAAACA